GGGUUGUGAGGUUAAGCGACUAAGCGUACACGGUGGAUGCCCUGGCAGUCAGAGGCGAUGAAGGACGUGCUAAUCUGCGAUAAGCGUCGGUAAGGUGAUAUGAACCGUUAUAACCGGCGAUUUCCGAAUGGGGAAACCCAGUGUGUUUCGACACACUAUCAUUAACUGAAUCCAUAGGUUAAUGAGGCGAACCGGGGGAACUGAAACAUCUAAGUACCCCGAGGAAAAGAAAUCAACCGAGAUUCCCCCAGUAGCGGCGAGCGAACGGGGAGCAGCCCAGAGCCUGAAUCAGUGUGUGUGUUAGUGGAAGCGUCUGGAAAGGCGUGCGAUACAGGGUGACAGCCCCGUACACAAAAAUGCACAUAUUGUGAGCUCGAUGAGUAGGGCGGGACACGUGGUAUCCUGUCUGAAUAUGGGGGGACCAUCCUCCAAGGCUAAAUACUCCUGACUGACCGAUAGUGAACCAGUACCGUGAGGGAAAGGCGAAAAGAACCCCGGCGAGGGGAGUGAAAAAGAACCUGAAACCGUGUACGUACAAGCAGUGGGAGCACGCUUAGGCGUGUGACUGCGUACCUUUUGUAUAAUGGGUCAGCGACUUAUAUUCUGUAGCAAGGUUAACCGAAUAGGGGAGCCGAAGGGAAACCGAGUCUUAACUGGGCGUUAAGUUGCAGGGUAUAGACCCGAAACCCGGUGAUCUAGCCAUGGGCAGGUUGAAGGUUGGGUAACACUAACUGGAGGACCGAACCGACUAAUGUUGAAAAAUUAGCGGAUGACUUGUGGCUGGGGGUGAAAGGCCAAUCAAACCGGGAGAUAGCUGGUUCUCCCCGAAAGCUAUUUAGGUAGCGCCUCGUGAAUUCAUCUCCGGGGGUAGAGCACUGUUUCGGCAAGGGGGUCAUCCCGACUUACCAACCCGAUGCAAACUGCGAAUACCGGAGAAUGUUAUCACGGGAGACACACGGCGGGUGCUAACGUCCGUCGUGAAGAGGGAAACAACCCAGACCGCCAGCUAAGGUCCCAAAGUCAUGGUUAAGUGGGAAACGAUGUGGGAAGGCCCAGACAGCCAGGAUGUUGGCUUAGAAGCAGCCAUCAUUUAAAGAAAGCGUAAUAGCUCACUGGUCGAGUCGGCCUGCGCGGAAGAUGUAACGGGGCUAAACCAUGCACCGAAGCUGCGGCAGCGACACUAUGUGUUGUUGGGUAGGGGAGCGUUCUGUAAGCCUGUGAAGGUGUGCUGUGAGGCAUGCUGGAGGUAUCAGAAGUGCGAAUGCUGACAUAAGUAACGAUAAAGCGGGUGAAAAGCCCGCUCGCCGGAAGACCAAGGGUUCCUGUCCAACGUUAAUCGGGGCAGGGUGAGUCGACCCCUAAGGCGAGGCCGAAAGGCGUAGUCGAUGGGAAACAGGUUAAUAUUCCUGUACUUGGUGUUACUGCGAAGGGGGGGACGGAGAAGGCUAUGUUGGCCGGGCGACGGUUGUCCCGGUUUAAGCGUGUAGGCUGGUUUUCCAGGCAAAUCCGGAAAAUCAAGGCUGAGGCGUGAUGACGAGGCACUACGGUGCUGAAGCAACAAAUGCCCUGCUUCCAGGAAAAGCCUCUAAGCAUCAGGUAACAUCAAAUCGUACCCCAAACCGACACAGGUGGUCAGGUAGAGAAUACCAAGGCGCUUGAGAGAACUCGGGUGAAGGAACUAGGCAAAAUGGUGCCGUAACUUCGGGAGAAGGCACGCUGAUAUGUAGGUGAAGCGACUUGCUCGUGGAGCUGAAAUCAGUCGAAGAUACCAGCUGGCUGCAACUGUUUAUUAAAAACACAGCACUGUGCAAACACGAAAGUGGACGUAUACGGUGUGACGCCUGCCCGGUGCCGGAAGGUUAAUUGAUGGGGUUAGCCGCAAGGCGAAGCUCUUGAUCGAAGCCCCGGUAAACGGCGGCCGUAACUAUAACGGUCCUAAGGUAGCGAAAUUCCUUGUCGGGUAAGUUCCGACCUGCACGAAUGGCGUAAUGAUGGCCAGGCUGUCUCCACCCGAGACUCAGUGAAAUUGAACUCGCUGUGAAGAUGCAGUGUACCCGCGGCAAGACGGAAAGACCCCGUGAACCUUUACUAUAGCUUGACACUGAACAUUGAGCCUUGAUGUGUAGGAUAGGUGGGAGGCUUUGAAGUGUGGACGCCAGUCUGCAUGGAGCCGACCUUGAAAUACCACCCUUUAAUGUUUGAUGUUCUAACGUUGACCCGUAAUCCGGGUUGCGGACAGUGUCUGGUGGGUAGUUUGACUGGGGCGGUCUCCUCCUAAAGAGUAACGGAGGAGCACGAAGGUUGGCUAAUCCUGGUCGGACAUCAGGAGGUUAGUGCAAUGGCAUAAGCCAGCUUGACUGCGAGCGUGACGGCGCGAGCAGGUGCGAAAGCAGGUCAUAGUGAUCCGGUGGUUCUGAAUGGAAGGGCCAUCGCUCAACGGAUAAAAGGUACUCCGGGGAUAACAGGCUGAUACCGCCCAAGAGUUCAUAUCGACGGCGGUGUUUGGCACCUCGAUGUCGGCUCAUCACAUCCUGGGGCUGAAGUAGGUCCCAAGGGUAUGGCUGUUCGCCAUUUAAAGUGGUACGCGAGCUGGGUUUAGAACGUCGUGAGACAGUUCGGUCCCUAUCUGCCGUGGGCGCUGGAGAACUGAGGGGGGCUGCUCCUAGUACGAGAGGACCGGAGUGGACGCAUCACUGGUGUUCGGGUUGUCAUGCCAAUGGCACUGCCCGGUAGCUAAAUGCGGAAGAGAUAAGUGCUGAAAGCAUCUAAGCACGAAACUUGCCCCGAGAUGAGUUCUCCCUGACUCCUUGAGAGUCCUGAAGGAACGUUGAAGACGACGACGUUGAUAGGCCGGGUGUGUAAGCGCAGCGAUGCGUUGAGCUAACCGGUACUAAUGAACCGUGAGGCUUAACCUUACAACGCCGAAG
This 2927-nucleotide ribosomal RNA is filed under the name Escherichia coli str. K-12 substr. MG1655. Its description in RNAcentral is "bacterial LSU rRNA". It matches the Rfam family "Bacterial large subunit ribosomal RNA". Lineage: Bacteria; Pseudomonadati; Pseudomonadota; Gammaproteobacteria; Enterobacterales; Enterobacteriaceae. The record is from RNAcentral.